GGGGGGGGGGGGGGGGGGGGGGGGGGGAGGGGAGGCGAGGGGGACCUGCGGGGCGAGGGGCGCACGGGUGCGUAACGCGUGGGAACCUGCCCUUAGGGUCGGAAUAACUCCCCGAAAGGGGUGCUAAUACCGGAUAAUGUCUUCGGACCAAAGAUUUAUCGCCUGUGGAUGGGCCCGCGUUGGAUUAGCUAGUUGGUAGGGUAAAAGCCUACCAAGGCGACGAUCCAUAGCUGGUCUGAGAGGAUGAUCAGCCACACUGGGACUGAGACACGGCCCAGACUCCUACGGGAGGCAGCAGUGGGGAAUAUUGGACAAUGGGCGAAAGCCUGAUCCAGCAAUGCCGCGUGAGUGAUGAAGGCCUUAGGGUUGUAAAGCUCUUUUACCCGGGAUGAUAAUGACAGUACCGGGAGAAUAAGCUCCGGCUAACUCCGUG
RNAcentral lists this ribosomal RNA (433 nucleotides) under uncultured bacterium. RNAcentral describes it as "partial 16S ribosomal RNA". It matches the Rfam family "Bacterial small subunit ribosomal RNA", at positions 38 to 507 of the family's 1533-position model. The record is from RNAcentral.